CUCACUGGGACUCUACAGCGUCUGAACUUUCGCAGCUCUAGUGCUCCAACUUUCCGAGGGUUCCCCAGAACUUAAGCAGGAUGGAGCAGCUGGAGCCAAAGAACUGGGAAACAUGAACUCCCUGGGAACAAGACACCUGCUUCGACAUAAGUUGCAGACGAAGUAUAGAUUUCUCAGGAGCAGAUCCACAGGGGAUUUGCUAAGAGGCAUGAGGAGUGUGAACUCAGUUACCAGCUCACUACAGAUCCUCCUGGAGGAACAAAUGCUGUAUGGGAUCCCAAAAUAUGGCAAGGUUUCCAGGUGGCGCCGAGCACCAGACGGCUUUGAGUCUGGAGAUAGUUCCACCACAAGGCUCACGACCAGCAGAGGGUGCCACCAUCCCACAGGGAGGCACCCAGGACUCUCCAAUCCUCCCUGGAGAAACUGUGGAACCGCAGAGGAAUCAGGCAGUCCGCUCCCCAGCUGCCAGCUGCUGAAUUAGCAGUCUUUGUCAAGAGUCCUGGGUUCCUAAAUCCAUUCCGGGGCAGUCUUUCCCUCUCUGACUGCUGUCUCAGGCAGGAGGGCUUGGACCACACACGUCUUU
Long non-coding RNA from Mus musculus (house mouse), 583 nucleotides. RefSeq annotates it as expressed sequence AU021063. NCBI's taxonomy places the organism in Eukaryota, Metazoa, Chordata, Mammalia, Rodentia, Muridae. The record is from RefSeq and is marked validated. The transcript is spliced from 3 exons.